AUGCUCUGGUUUCUCUUCAGAUCGUAUAAAUCUUUCGCCUUUUACUAAAGAUUUCCGUGGAGAGGAACGAGUACGAGUGUCAAGAAAUUUUUUGAGGCUCCAUUUUGAUGGAGCU
This is a small nuclear RNA of Lepidothrix coronata (blue-crowned manakin), 115 nucleotides long. Its record names the gene U5. It matches the Rfam family "U5 spliceosomal RNA". From Rfam's summary of the family: U5 RNA is a component of both types of known spliceosome. The precise function of this molecule is unknown, though it is known that the 5' loop is required for splice site selection and p220 binding, and that both the 3' stem-loop and the Sm site are important for Sm protein binding and cap methylation. NCBI's taxonomy places the organism in Eukaryota, Metazoa, Chordata, Aves, Passeriformes, Pipridae. The record is from Ensembl.